This 301-nucleotide ribosomal RNA is filed under the name uncultured bacterium. RNAcentral's name for it is "partial 16S ribosomal RNA". It matches the Rfam family "Bacterial small subunit ribosomal RNA", at positions 509 to 807 of the family's 1533-position model. The record is from RNAcentral.
CAGCCGCCGCGGGAAUACAGAGGGUGCGAGCGUUAAUCGGAUUUACUGGGCGUAAAGCGUGCGUAGGCGGCUUUUUAAGACGGAUGUGAAAUCCCUGAGCUUAACUUAGGAAUUGCAUUCGAUACUGGGAAGCUAGAGUAUGGGAGAGGAUGGUAGAAUUCCAGGUGUAGCGGUGAAAUGCGUAGAGAUCUGGAGGAAUACCGAUGGCGAAGGCAGCCAUCUGGCCUAAUACUGACGCUGAGGUACGAAAGCAUGGGGAGCAAACAGGAUUAGAGACCCCCGUAGUCCCUGUCUCUUAUAC